UACGUAGGGCGCAAGCGUUGUCCGGAAUUAUUGGGCGUAAAGAGCUCGUAGGCGGCUUGUCACGUCGGGUGUGAAAGCCCGGGGCUUAACCCCGGGUCUGCAUUCGAUACGGGCUAGCUAGAGUGUGGUAGGGGAGAUCGAAUUCCUGGUGUAGCGGUGAAAUGCGCAGAUAUCAGGAGGAACACCGGUGGCGAAGGCGGAUCUCUGGGCCAUUACUGACGCUGAGGAGCGAAAGCGUGGGGAGCGAACAGG
This 252-nucleotide ribosomal RNA is filed under the name uncultured bacterium. RNAcentral describes it as "partial 16S ribosomal RNA". It matches the Rfam family "Bacterial small subunit ribosomal RNA", at positions 524 to 776 of the family's 1533-position model. The record is from RNAcentral.